Molecule: long non-coding RNA, 402 nt
Organism: Helianthus annuus (common sunflower)
Lineage: Eukaryota; Viridiplantae; Streptophyta; Magnoliopsida; Asterales; Asteraceae
Exons: 3
Source: RefSeq, a predicted model, not a curated record
UCAGGAGCUCCAAAGAGCCAAAACCCUAACUCAACUAAAACCAUCAAAUUGAAGGGUGAAUCAAGGCUUAAAUUCACAACCGAACAUGGAUUAAUGAUCAUCUUUACAAGGGGAUCAUAAGUAUAGGGAUCAUGUCAAGAUGGAUGGAAGCAUGGAAGGCUAACGAGUCAAAAGGAUGCGAAUACGGACACUUAAGGUUAGUUAGAUAUUCAUGAUGGACAAGUGAACAAGGUUCGAGUUGAAGAUUAUGGAUUGUACGGGAAAGUGGUCAUGUUGUUUGUAAUUAUUUGUUAACAUAGUUACAUUAAAUAAAUGAUGAAUGAUGUAUUUAUGUUAAAAGGGUUGACCUAAACGGUAUUCAAGUAUGAUAGAGUAGUUAAAAGAAAGAAAUUUUACGGUUCA